UACCCCCUAGUGUAAUGGUAGCACUACAGAUUUUGGCUCUGUCGGUCGAGGUUCAAAUCCUCGGGGGGUAGCUA
RNAcentral lists this transfer RNA (74 nucleotides) under Blastopirellula marina. RNAcentral's name for it is "tRNA-Gln". It matches the Rfam family "tRNA". From Rfam's summary of the family: Transfer RNA (tRNA) molecules are approximately 80 nucleotides in length. Their secondary structure includes four short double-helical elements and three loops (D, anti-codon, and T loops). Further hydrogen bonds mediate the characteristic L-shaped molecular structure. tRNAs have two regions of fundamental functional importance: the anti-codon, which is responsible for specific mRNA codon recognition, and the 3' end, to which the tRNAs corresponding amino acid is attached (by aminoacyl-tRNA synthetases). tRNAs cope with the degeneracy of the genetic code in two manners: having more than one tRNA (with a specific anti-codon) for a particular amino acid; and 'wobble' base-pairing, i.e. permitting non-standard base-pairing at the 3rd anti-codon position. The record is from RNAcentral. RNAcentral also lists the same sequence under 1 other name. Lineage: Bacteria; Pseudomonadati; Planctomycetota; Planctomycetia; Pirellulales; Pirellulaceae.